AUGUUUGGUGAUUGUCUAUUUGAGCUUACAAACCUUAUGCGUGCCAAAGGAGAUGUUGGAAUUAUUAGUGAUAUUAUUUCCGAAGCUAUAAAAAUUCAUAAACAAGAUCAUUGUCAAACUCACUCUAACGAAUCACCCUCUCUAGGAUUUGAUCCACCACAUGACGAUGUUGAACAUGGAUACUAUGACGAGGAUAAUGAUAGUGACUUUGAUCUUGAUGAUGCAACGAGACACUUUGGUCUAAUGGCAAAUCAUCGGGGAUAUAUGGCAGGAGGAAAGGAAUGGGUUCUUGAUAGUGGAUGUAUCGAUCACAUGACCGGAGAUAAAGAUAUGUUUCGUGAGCUUGCUGAAAACGAUGGUCCUCGAAAGUAUGUCACUUUUGGUGAUAACUCAAAGGGUAAGGUGGUUGGUCUCGGUAAGGUGGCCAUAUCACAUGAUAGCUCCAUACAAAAUGUCAUGCUCGUUGAAUCUCUUGGCUACAACUUACUUUCAGUAUCUAGACUUGCUGAUUUCGGUUUCAAUGUCCUAUUUACUGAAGUAGAUUGCCAAGUGUUUCGUAGAGAUAAUCAUUAA
This 573-nucleotide ribosomal RNA is filed under the name Triticum aestivum (bread wheat). RNAcentral describes it as "partial small subunit ribosomal RNA". Lineage: Eukaryota; Viridiplantae; Streptophyta; Magnoliopsida; Poales; Poaceae. The record is from RNAcentral.